Molecule: ribosomal RNA, 136 nt
Filed under: uncultured Microsporidia
Lineage: Eukaryota; Fungi; Microsporidia
Description: partial small subunit ribosomal RNA
Rfam family: Microsporidia small subunit ribosomal RNA
Source: RNAcentral
GUGUGCGCUUGUCUCGAGGACUUAGCCAUGCAAGCUAGCGAAGUGGAGCGGCGGACAGCUCAGUAGUGCAGUUAUGAUUUGCUCGUGGCGGGCGGAUAACCGUGGUAAGCUACGGCUAAUACGCGAGGCGGGUGUU